Long non-coding RNA from Oncorhynchus keta (chum salmon), 495 nucleotides. RefSeq lists it as uncharacterized. Lineage: Eukaryota; Metazoa; Chordata; Actinopteri; Salmoniformes; Salmonidae. The transcript has 3 exons. The record is from RefSeq and is a predicted model, not a curated record.
CCCACACACAGACACGCGCGCACGCACACACACACACACACACACAUAGGCGCGCGCGCAAUAACAUCACAAGUCCGUAGCCUACCUUCCGUGUGACAGCUGGAGGACAGGAUGGUGCUUGAGGGUCUGAAGAGGUAUACAGACGAGGAGGCAUACAAAGGUAUGUCAAUUGGUGUUGGUAUAUUAUGCAGAUCACAUUUACCAUCCUCCUCCCUUACCUCUUCAAUGAAUAUCCCAUAGGCCUCUACAUUAUGGACAAGACUUCACCCUCCCUACACCUCUGAUGAAUAUAACAGGAAACCUGUUUGAUCACCACACACUGCCAAAUCAUUCCGGCCGUGGAUACAGAGAACAUCAACACAUUAACAUCAACAUACCAGAGGAUUUACCCAUUGGACUUGGGUCUCUGCUGGGAGUUUACCUCAUAUUUGGAUUUUUUAAUUCUGCUUUACCACUAAAAUUAUAAGAAACAUUGACAACUAAAAUAUUGUCAUA